RNA transcript from Benincasa hispida (wax gourd), 1661 nucleotides. It is a transcript of the gene named nudix hydrolase 8, with no coding region annotated. The record is from RefSeq and is a predicted model, not a curated record. Lineage: Eukaryota; Viridiplantae; Streptophyta; Magnoliopsida; Cucurbitales; Cucurbitaceae.
AUAUGCAAUUGCAAUUCUGUCACUUCAAAUCUCUUUGUUUCCUUCCUUAAUCUCUCUCUCAAUUCCAUCACUAUUUUUACUCAGCUCUUUAAUUUCUGCGAAUCCCCUUUUCUUCUUGUUCCCUCCGAAUUUCGAUCAUUUCUAUGGGUUUUCUUUACAUUUAAGUACAAGGGUGUUCGUUUUUGGAGUUUUUAUGAAAACCCCACUUCGUUUUUUGAGGAUUAUUUGAGUUUCUUCUCUGUUUUUUCAACCCCCAUUAAUGGAAAUGUCGUUGUUGGAACCAAAAACUGUGGUUUCUUCCCCAUUUUCGAGCUUCAGACACCAAGUUCGGAGGUUUUCUAGCUGUUCUUCUUGUUUAGGGAGAUUUUCCAGGGCUUCUUAUUCAAAUGGUGUGCCAAACAAGGCAUAUUGUAGUGGAGCUGUGAGUUCAAUUGGCCAGGAAAAACUACCGGCUGAAGCUUUUACACAUCAGAUAAAUGGAACAAAUGUAUUGAGUUCAAAGCUGUUUUCAAGAGAUUGUAGAUUGUUAGAUGCAGUUGAUGAUCGAUAUGAUGGAAUUGUUAUUGAUCCAAAUGGAUUGCCUUCAAAUCCGAUCGUCUUUUCGUCCAAUCUUCGUUUCUCUCUGUCUCAUUGGAAAAAGAAGGGAAAGAAGGGAGUUUGGCUUAAGUUGCUAGUCGAACAGUCAGAGCUAAUUCCGAUCGCCCUGAAGGCAGGAUUUCAGUACCAUCAUGCUGAGCCAGAUUACUUGAUGUUAACAUAUUGGAUACCCGAUGGACCCUGCAUGCUUCCUGCAAAUGCUUCGCAUCACGUCGGGGUUGGAGGAUUUGUCAUCAAUGAUAGAAAUGAGGUCUUGGUAGUGCAAGAAAAAUACUGUUCUCCAACAUUUGCUAAUUUUUGGAAAAUACCAACUGGUUUCAUUGUUGAGAAGGAGGAGAUCUAUACAGGAGUUACUAGAGAAGUUAAAGAGGAAACUGGUAGAAAAAAGAAACGAAGAUUUGAAUUAAUCGACAAGAGAAAAGGUAGAGAGAACCUCCCAAUUAGCCAAAGGAGUUACAAAAGAUCUCUUAUCGACUUAGAUAUCAAACCAAUAAUUACAAAAGAUCUUAGAGAAAGCAUUCAAUCACAAAAAACAUAACUUCGUUUGUAUCUUCUUUGUACAGUGGAAAAGUAUUGUUGAAAGUUCUGUUGUUUCUUUCUAGCCAAAUUGUGACCCACAUAAGAGUCCCCACUGGAAGGUAUCCUCCAAAACGUCAUCGUCUUGUCAGAGAAGUCCCGAUGAAAGAUGCUUCGACCAAAAAUAUCGCCUUGCAGGGGAUUAUAUUAUUUGUACUCUAAUAUCAUGUUGAUCUUACAAUGAAUGCAAACUUGAACAAAGAAUUUAACUUCAGAAAUCUUCCAUCUUUCAAAUAAACUCAGCAAUUCCUUUUACAGGCUUCUGAGAUAAGCUUUAUGUAUCUAUUUAAGAUGGCUGAUCAAGUUUGUGGGUCCUAAUAGAUUCUCUUUGCUCUGAUUUGCAGAUUGAGACUGAAUUUGUUGAAGUAAUAGCUUUCAGGCAUGCUCACAAUAUAGCAUUUGGGAAAUCGGAUUUGUUCUUUGUCUGCAUGCUUAGACCUUUAUCGACUCAGAUUAUCGUCGAUGAUCUCGAAAUUCAAGCAGCAAAG